This 292-nucleotide ribosomal RNA is filed under the name uncultured bacterium. RNAcentral describes it as "partial 16S ribosomal RNA". It matches the Rfam family "Bacterial small subunit ribosomal RNA", at positions 505 to 796 of the family's 1533-position model. The record is from RNAcentral.
GUGUCAGCCGCCGCGGUAAUACGUAGGGGGCAAGCGUUGUUCGGAAUUAUUGGGUUUAAAGGGUCCGUAGGCGGAUCUGUAAGUCAGUGGUGAAAUCUCACAGCUUAACUGUGAAACUGCCAUUGAUACUGCAGGUCUUGAGUAAGGUAGAAGUAGCUGGAAUAAGUAGUGUAGCGGUGAAAUGCAUAGAUAUUACUUAGAACACCAAUUGCGAAGGCAGGUUACUAUGUCUUAACUGACGCUGAUGGACGAAAGCGUGGGGAGCGAACAGGAUUAGAUACCCCUGUAGUCC